CGAAAAAGCAAUUUUGACCUCCUAAAAACAAUGCCAAACAGUCACUAUAUAUGCUUUGUAGCUCAUCUUUGUGAAGUGAGAUAAACAAGCAACCUUUAAUUGCUUUUAUAAAAUUGAUGACAUCCAAGAAAAACUAGAAGAAAGAAGUUCAUAAAUAAAGAAAAUCUUGAUGAAUCUUUGAUGCUCAUAAAAGCACAUGCAAAUGACACAGGCAUAGAGUACAUGAUGUUCAAAUGCCAUUGCAUAUGAUCAAAGAAUACAGAGCUAUAACACCUCCAAAAUCAAAUCUUUUAUCACCUGUUCAAUUUUGCUGAACUAAUCCAGGACUUUUAUUAGCAUCAGAAAAUGAUUUUUCAACAACAAGAAUGAAACAGAUUCACAUAACACAUACCCACUUUUUCUCACAAUCAUUGUCAAACAAAAAUUAAUUCAUUCGAUGUACAGUCAAGUACAUCAAUUGCUGCCUGCAAUACCACCAAGUAUUGCAUUCUGUGUUCUAAACAGAUUAAAUCUUGUCUAACAGAUCCUACUUUAUCAAGAUCUUGUUUUUCACUUUCUUUUAUCGUCACAUAAUUUGAAUUAGAUGAAGAUUUGCAUGUAAUUGCAAGACUGAAGUAGAUUCAAUUAAGUGAAAUAGAAUAUAAGAAAGUAAAAUCUAACUCAGGAAAUACUUUUGUGGUUCAAAUGAUGGUAUUUAUACCAAAAACUCCCAAAUCUGUUCCAAAAAAGAAAUUCACAGCUUAGACUAAUCAUGUACAGUUCUUCUGGGUUUUCCAUGACAACAGUAAUUCUUCUUCUUUUUCAUCUCAAGUCAACCCAUUUGAUUCUGACUUGCAUUCAGUUUUUUCUUGUAAAGCAAGAUAAUAUACAUUCCAAAACUAGAAAUGGAGAAACAAUCCAGGAAAUGUUGCACACCCAUGACCAAAUGCUUGUUGGUGAAUAGUGACAUCUGGCCUCAAACUGUCCUCUGAUACACUUGCUUUGAAGCACUUCACUUCCUCUGUAGCCAUUGGAGGGGAGGCUUUGAGUGAGCAGCUCCAAAAGAAUUAUCUUUUGUGGCACUCCCAAGAGAUAUCCUUAGAACCCUCCUUAACUCAUCUAACCUAGCAUAUUUUUAUCCCCCAUUGUAAUAGGAUCCAACAACAAAUAGUAAGCUAGAACAUAUCUGAUAAAGCACAACCCCAUUGAGUACUAGGUCCAUAACCAAGCAUCCGGUUCUUGCUGCCCUCCUGGAAGUUUCCAGGCCUAUCCAAAGGGGCAAUAGGAUAAUUCCCCUGCUGCCGAUUUGGAUAGCUCCCUGUAAAACCUAAUUUGUCCAGAUUAUCUGAACCGAAUUCACAUCUCACAUUUCCAGCCAUCUACUCAAACCAAAGUGAAUGUACUCAUAUCUACUAUGAAUUUUUAUUUCCCCAACUUCUUAUUUUAGCAACUCCAGCAACCAUCUCUAAAGCAGCAUAAAAUAAUGAGAUCCACACAAGAUGUCAACAAAUUCAUAAACCACCAAUAUUUCACUGUAACAGUAACUGGAGGAUCUUGUACCAGUCCGUGAUGUCAGAGUCGGUCUUGGAGGCGACACUGAGGAUUUUGAUCGCUGUAAGCAAUGAUGAGAGACCUUCUAUCUUUGGAGAAAGACGGUGGGCUUUCUUGGCGUGUUUAAGAGCAGAUUUGAUAUUGGAGUUGGUGUACUUCGUCUCUGCUAUAGUUUUGAGAACAAGGGCUUCUUCCUUUUGGUCUGGCUUCAUAUCCAUUGCUCCUAACAGAAGGAAGAAGGAAAUGCAGAUCAAGGAGAGAGAGACUCGAUAGUCCUUAUUACUUAAUUUGCUUGCCUGGUUUUGUU
RNAcentral lists this unclassified non-coding RNA (1837 nucleotides) under Hevea brasiliensis (rubber tree). The record is from RNAcentral. Lineage: Eukaryota; Viridiplantae; Streptophyta; Magnoliopsida; Malpighiales; Euphorbiaceae.